GAGUUUGAUCGUGGCUCAGAGCGAACGCUGGCGGCAGGCUUAACACAUGCAAGUCGAGCGGGCCCUUCGGGGUCAGCGGCGGACGGGUGAGUAACGCGUGGGAACGUGCCUUCUGGUUCGGAAUAACCCUGGGAAACUAGGGCUAAUACCGGAUACGCCCUUUUGGGGAAAGGUUUACUGCCGGAAGAUCGGCCCGCGUCUGAUUAGCUAGUUGGUGGGGUAAUGGCCUACCAAGGCGACGAUCAGUAGCUGGUCUGAGAGGAUGAUCAGCCACACUGGGACUGAGACACGGCCCAGACUCCUACGGGAGGCAGCAGUGGGGAAUAUUGGACAAUGGGCGCAAGCCUGAUCCAGCCAUGCCGCGUGAGUGAUGAAGGCCUUAGGGUUGUAAAGCUCUUUUAUCCGGGACGAUAAUGACGGUACCGGAGGAAUAAGCCCCGGCUAACUUCGUGCCAGCCGCCGCCGUAAG
This 469-nucleotide ribosomal RNA is filed under the name uncultured microorganism. RNAcentral describes it as "bacterial SSU rRNA". It matches the Rfam family "Bacterial small subunit ribosomal RNA", at positions 9 to 524 of the family's 1533-position model. The record is from RNAcentral.